Nomascus leucogenys (northern white-cheeked gibbon) is the source of this 265-nucleotide long non-coding RNA. RefSeq lists it as uncharacterized. The transcript is spliced from 3 exons. NCBI's taxonomy places the organism in Eukaryota, Metazoa, Chordata, Mammalia, Primates, Hylobatidae. The record is from RefSeq and is a predicted model, not a curated record.
AAGUUAAUGGCAAAAGGGUCAGAGGAAGGCUGUAUCCUUGGAGUGUUGCUGAAGUUGAACAUGGUGAUCAUUGUUAUUUUACAAUUCUAAGAAAUACGUUGAUAAGUAAAAAUAUCUAUAACCAGCAUCCAGGAGGGAUACUGUCAGUGAAACCUGCUUAGCUGAGGACUGGCUGUGUGUGUGCCUCCAGACCAAUCAUAUGUUUGUUUUGAGAUACAUUUUUCGGAGGAAGGUAAUACACACACGCCAUGUAUUUUCUUUUUGU